GGUGAAUCAGGCAGUAUUGAAAUCAGACCGUUGGAACGUUCUUGUUUUGCUUUAUUAACUAAUGCUAAUGUGUGCAUCCUUGUAGGGUAAAUCAUUCUCGUUUGGCUCUAAAAUUUUGUUAAAUACAUGCUGCGAGCUUCUGGGUACCCAUAUUAACGGUUGAUAGGCCAUACAAAACUCAAUCCCAGUUCACCAAGUCUUUGUGGAGUAGCCUAGCCUACGAUUGCACGGCGGGACCAGAAUGGCUCCAGGAUUGUCAGCAAUGUUCUCCAGAUUGUUUGUGUAAUUUGGUUUUAAUAGUCUAGAAAUUCCCCAUUAAAUAAAGACUUUGUUGCUGAUGAA
Molecule: long non-coding RNA, 342 nt
Organism: Alosa alosa (allis shad)
Lineage: Eukaryota; Metazoa; Chordata; Actinopteri; Clupeiformes; Clupeidae
Exons: 2
Source: RefSeq, a predicted model, not a curated record